This 460-nucleotide ribosomal RNA is filed under the name uncultured bacterium. RNAcentral's name for it is "partial 16S ribosomal RNA". It matches the Rfam family "Bacterial small subunit ribosomal RNA", at positions 338 to 795 of the family's 1533-position model. The record is from RNAcentral.
CCUACGGGCGGCAGCAGUGAGGAAUAUUGGUCAAUGGACGGAAGUCUGAACCAGCCAUGCCGCGUGCAGGAAGACGGCUCUAUGAGUUGUAAACUGCUUUUGUACAAGGGUAAACCUGAAUACGUGUAUUCAGCUGAAAGUACUGUACGAAUAAGGAUCGGCUAACUCCGGGCCAGCAGCCGCGGUAAUACGGAGGAUCCAAGCGUUAUCCGGAUUUAUUGGGUUUAAAGGGUGGGUAGGCGGAUUGAUAAGUUAGAGGUGAAAUUUGCGAGCUUAACUCGGGAACUGCCUCGAAUACGGUUGAUCUAGAGAGUAGAUGCGGUAGGCGGAAUGUAUGGUGUAGCGGUGAAAUGCAUAGAGAUCAUACAGAACACCGAUUGCGAAGGCAGCUUACCAAUCUAUAUCUGACGUUGAGGCACGAAAGCGUGGGGAGCAAACAGGAUUAGAUACCCCAGUAGUC